GAGGGCCAGAUACUGUAAACACCCUACACUCUCAGCUGUGCACAGUGAGAAAGCUGGGAGAAGGCUGUUUACUCUCUCUGCCUU
Molecule: microRNA precursor, 84 nt
Organism: Bos mutus (wild yak)
Lineage: Eukaryota; Metazoa; Chordata; Mammalia; Artiodactyla; Bovidae
Source: Ensembl